GUGAAUCAUCAAAUCUUUGAACGCAAAUUGCACUCUCUUGGAUGCCGAAGAGUAUUCCUGUUUGAGGGUCAGUUUAAAUAAAAAUCGUUGUUUUUGCUGCCUUGCGUGUUGACGCAUCUGUUUUGUGUCGUCUUACCUUCGGUUAAGUGACCUUUUAUUUUGCAUUAUUUCUCGAACGUAUUUAAAUAAUUUACGUAUUUUUGCGAUAUCUUAUACUAUGGGUGGUCAUCCUCAUGAUUCUCGUCUAUAUUUUUUCAUCAAAAUGUCCUCAAAUCAGGUAUGAGUACCCCCU
Molecule: unclassified non-coding RNA, 292 nt
Filed under: Glomus sp.
Lineage: Eukaryota; Fungi; Glomeromycota; Glomeromycetes; Glomerales; Glomeraceae
Description: partial contains 5.8S ribosomal RNA and internal transcribed spacer 2
Rfam family: 5.8S ribosomal RNA (bases 1-71)
Source: RNAcentral